RNAcentral lists this ribosomal RNA (442 nucleotides) under uncultured bacterium. RNAcentral's name for it is "bacterial SSU rRNA". It matches the Rfam family "Bacterial small subunit ribosomal RNA", at positions 958 to 1402 of the family's 1533-position model. The record is from RNAcentral.
AACGCGAAGAACCUUACCUGCCCUUGACAUCCACGGAAUCUUGCAGAGAUGCGGGAGUGCCGAAAGGAACCGUGAGACAGGUGCUGCAUGGCUGUCGUCAGCUCGUGUUGUGAGAUGUUGGGUUAAGUCCCGUAACGAGCGCAACCCCUGUUCCCAGUUACCAGCGCGUUAUGGCGGGGACUCUGGGGAGACUGCCGGUGAUGAACCGGAGGAAGGCGGGGACGACGUCAAGUCAUCAUGGCCUUUAUGGGCAGGGCUACACACGUGCUACAAUGGGGCGUACAGAGGGUUGCCAACCCGCGAGGGGGAGCCAAUCCCGAAAAGCGUCUCUUAGUCCGGACUGGAGUCUGCAACUCGACUCCACGAAGUCGGAAUCGCUAGUAAUCGCGAAUCAGAAUGUCGCGGUGAAUACGUUCCCGGGCCUUGUACACACCGGACACGC